UAGUGGCGAACGGGUGAGUAACACGUGGGUAAUCUGCCCUGCACUCUGGGAUAAGCCUUGGAAACGAGGUCUAAUACCGGAUAUCACAACGCUUCGCAUGGAGUGUUGUUGAAAGUUCUGGCGGUGCAGGAUGAACCCGCGGCCUAUCAGCUUGUUGGUGGGGUAGUGGCCUACCAAGGCGACGACGGGUAGCCGGCCUGAGAGGGUGACCGGCCACACUGGGACUGAGACACGGCCCAGACUCCUACGGGAGGCAGCAGUGGGGAAUAUUGCACAAUGGGCGAAAGCCUGAUGCAGCGACGCCGCGUGAGGGAUGACGGCCUUCGGGUUGUAAACCUCUUUCGCCAGGGACGAAGCGCAAGUGACGGUACCUGGAUAAGAAGCACCGGCUAACUACGUGCCAGCAGCCGCGGUAAUACGUAGGGUGCAAGCGUUGUCCGGAUUUAUUGGGCGUAAAGAGCUCGUAGGCGGUUUGUCGCGUCGGCUGUGAA
This 491-nucleotide ribosomal RNA is filed under the name Amycolatopsis sp. 313A11. Its description in RNAcentral is "bacterial SSU rRNA". It matches the Rfam family "Bacterial small subunit ribosomal RNA", at positions 93 to 598 of the family's 1533-position model. The record is from RNAcentral. Lineage: Bacteria; Bacillati; Actinomycetota; Actinomycetes; Pseudonocardiales; Pseudonocardiaceae.